Molecule: transfer RNA, 69 nt
Filed under: Ancylodactylus uzungwae
Lineage: Eukaryota; Metazoa; Chordata; Lepidosauria; Squamata; Gekkonidae
Description: tRNA-Trp
Source: RNAcentral
AGAAAUUUAAGUUAAUGAAACUAUAGACCUUCAAAGUCUAAAACAGGGACACCCCACGCCCUAAUUCUG